CACGCCCUGUGCACCCAAUCCUCUCGUCCCUCACGAACCCUAUCCGCCUCCAUGCUCCUCCUCCCCCUCCUCUUCCAUCCUCCCGCGCCAGUCACCCCCCUCUCCCGCAUCUCGUCUACCCGGGAUCCGAGGUGUGCGGGCGCGGAGACGUGCUUCCCCGGCGGUGGCAACAACCUACAAGCAAAGGGAGACGGCGGCGACACUUGAUUCAAUAUGCAGGAGAGAGAGAGAGAGAGAGAGAAGAGUAGAAGGAUAAGAAGGGAGGAGAGGAGAGAGAAAGAGAGAGGCCUCUGGGCGGUGCUCCCGCGCCUCCUCCCCACCCAUCUCGCCGACAUCUCCUCCCCGAGCUCUGCCCUCUUUAUGCACGACGGCCGAUGCAGCUCCACACCGCCGGCGCCAUCCCCUCUCGUCCCUUUGUCUUUGGGACGUCCUGCUGUCGUCUCCACCCCAUCACAGCCUCUGGCCAUUGGGCUGGGCCCUCCCUUCGUCUGAGUUGGAUAUGGCAUCAGUUGUUACCAUGACUUCAGUUAGUGCUCAGUCCUCUUUGGUUUCAAGGCCAAGGAGCCAUGGCAUAACAAGCUAUGGUGCCUUAAAGGUGUCAUACUCAUCAAUUGGCUUUGAAUUGGGAUCCUCAUUCCUCGGCAAGACCACAUCUCUCCAGGCAUCUGUUACCACAAGGGUUGUGCCAAAGGCAAAGUCCGCGGCUCAGAUACUACCUGAGGCGUCUUACAAAGUGUCAGUUCUUGAUGCUGCGGGAGGCAUCAAACAACCAUUGGGCCUAUUAAUUAAGAUGUCUCGAGACGCGACGGUGGUCUAUGGCACCAUCACCGUCUUCCUCAGCAGAAGCAGUGCGGGCUGCAGAGAUGGCCGGCUUCAUCCUACUCUCACGUUGCUAUUCGUCCGCCCGACGAAGAAGAGAUGCAUCAACAGGAGAAGCAACAUGCACGUACACACUCUUCUCUUCUUUCUGAAAUUUUCUCGCCUCUAUUCCUAGAGCUUCUCAUCUUUGUCUCUUUGUUUGUGCAAAUUUUGUUUCUCUAUGCCUACAAGGUGUUCUUCGUCCACUUCCAUGGAUCCAACGUUUGAGUCCCAUCAGGACUUCAGAUAAUCCAUCUUACAUGGACCUACUUUCAGUAGUAGGUGGCGGCGUGACACGACUUUCUUCCGCUAGAACCGGCGACAUACGAGAUGGCAGCGGUGAGGUACAAAUUCUGGUGCCAAUUCCUGGACCUCGUCGCCAGCAUGGCCAUCAGCAUCGUCAAUGACGCCGGAUCGACCCUCUUCGCUGGCGAUGAACCAGCGACUGGUGCUCUGCAGGAACUACCAACACGGCAAGUAACCGCUACCUCUUGAGCUUGCGUUCGUUUUCCCUUGAAGAGGAAAGGGUGAUGCAGCAAAGUAGCGUAAGUAUUUCCCUCGGUUUUGAGAACCAAGGUAUCAAUCCAGUAGGAGACGACACACAAGU
Molecule: long non-coding RNA, 1465 nt
Organism: Triticum dicoccoides
Lineage: Eukaryota; Viridiplantae; Streptophyta; Magnoliopsida; Poales; Poaceae
Exons: 5
Source: RefSeq, a predicted model, not a curated record